Molecule: ribosomal RNA, 525 nt
Filed under: Eimeriidae sp. US6
Lineage: Eukaryota; Apicomplexa; Conoidasida; Eucoccidiorida; Eimeriidae
Description: SSU rRNA
Rfam family: Eukaryotic small subunit ribosomal RNA
Source: RNAcentral
GACGAGAAAUAACAAUACAGGGCAUUUUAUGCUCUGUAAUUGGAAUGAUGGGAAUCCAAACCCCUUUCAGAGUAACAAUUGGAGGGCAAGUCUGGUGCCAGCAGCCGCGGUAAUUCCAGCUCCAAUAGCGUAUAUUAGAGUUGUUGCAGUUAAAAAGCUCGUAGUUGGAUUUCUGUCGUGGUCUUCCGGUGCCGCCCGUAUGGGUGCGCACUUGGUUUGCCCUCGGCAUUCUUCCGGUUUCCUUCCCCGCUUCAUUGCGUGGUUGGUUUUUCCGGAACUUUUACUUUGAGAAAAAUAGAGUGUUUCAAGCAGGCUUUCGCCUUGAAUACUUCAGCAUGGAAUAAUAAAAUAGGACUUUGGUUCUAUUUUGUUGGUUUCUAGGACUAAAGUAAUGAUUAAUAGGGACAGUUGGGGGCAUUCGUAUUUAACUGUCAGAGGUGAAAUUCUUAGAUUUGUUAAAGACGAACUACUGCGAAAGCAUUUGCCAAGGAUGUUUUCAUUAAUCAAGAACGACAGUAGGGGGUU